RNAcentral lists this ribosomal RNA (253 nucleotides) under uncultured bacterium. RNAcentral describes it as "partial 16S ribosomal RNA". It matches the Rfam family "Bacterial small subunit ribosomal RNA", at positions 524 to 776 of the family's 1533-position model. The record is from RNAcentral.
UACGUAGGGACCGAGCGUUGUCCGGAUUCAUUGGGCGUAAAGAGCUCGUAGGCGGCCACUCAAGUCGAAUGUGAAACCUCGAGGCUUAACCUCGAGCCUGCAUUCGAUACUGGGCGGCUAGAGUCUGGUAGGGGGAUCUGGAAUUCCUGGUGUAGCGGUGGAAUGCGCAGAUAUCAGGAGGAGCACCGGUGGCGAAGGCGGGAUCCUGGGCCAGUACUGACGCUGAGGAGCGAAAGCGUGGGGAGCAAACAGG